UAUUAAAGUUGUUGCGGUUAAAAAGCUCGUAGUUGAAUAUGUGUCUCGCGCUGUUGGUUCACCGUCCGCGGUGUCAAACCGACACGCCCGCAUGAUGUCCUGCCGGUGGGACCGCGGCCGGCGCCGCUCUGGCGCGCGCUGUCCGCGUCCCGUCUUGAAAUUUCGCCGCGGUACUCUUCACUGAGUGUUGAGGUAGGCCGGCACCGUUUACUUUGAACAAAUUAGUGUGCUCAAAGCAGGUUAAAACUUCGCCUGAAUACUGUGUGCAUGGAAUAAUGGAACAGGACCUCGGUUCUAUUUUGUUGGUUUUCGGAACAUCGAGGUAAUGAUUAAUAGGGCCAGAUGGGGACAUUCGUAUUGCGACGUUAGAGGUGAAAUUCUUGGACGUCGCAAGACGGACAGAAGCGAAAGCAUUUGCCAAAAAUGUUUUCAUUAAUCAAGAACGAAAGUCAGAGGCUCGAAGGCGAUCAGAUACCGCCCUAGUUCUGACCAUAAACGAUGCCAGCUAGCGAUCCGCCGACGUUCCUCCGAUGACUCGGCGGGCAGCUUCCGGGAAACCAAAGCUUUUGGGUUCCGGGGGAAGUAUGGUUGCAAAGCUGAAACUUAAAGGAAUUGACGGAAGGGCACCACCAGGAGUGGAGCCUGCGGCUUAAUUUGACUCAACACGGGAAACCUCACCAGGCCCGGACACCGGAAGGAUUGACAGAUUGAGAGCUCUUUCUUGAUUCGGUGGGUGGUGGUGCAUGGCCGUUCUUAGUUGGUGGAGCGAUUUGUCUGGUUAAUUCCGAUAACGAACGAGAC
RNAcentral lists this ribosomal RNA (801 nucleotides) under Laccophilus sp. MB1175. RNAcentral describes it as "SSU rRNA". It matches the Rfam family "Eukaryotic small subunit ribosomal RNA", at positions 602 to 1341 of the family's 1831-position model. Lineage: Eukaryota; Metazoa; Arthropoda; Insecta; Coleoptera; Dytiscidae. The record is from RNAcentral.